This is a long non-coding RNA of Populus euphratica (Euphrates poplar), 1235 nucleotides long. RefSeq lists it as uncharacterized. The record is from RefSeq and is a predicted model, not a curated record. Lineage: Eukaryota; Viridiplantae; Streptophyta; Magnoliopsida; Malpighiales; Salicaceae. The transcript is spliced from 2 exons.
AUAAUCCGAUAGUUUUUUUCGGGUCAGUCGUAGUAGGAUCUAACAACUAUGCCAUUAGGGGCUUUAUACAUUUGCGCGAGAAUCCCCUGGUGAGGUCCACAGAAGGGGGAAGUUUGGGGCAUAGGAGGCUCGUUCCAUAACUCUGGUAUGGUUUGCUGGAAGCUGGUUCAAUGUCCCUAGCUUCGUUUUGGUUUGUGGGGCUAUGGGAUAUCUCCUCAAGAAUAAAAGAGGGAUUAGCCCAAUGUUAGUUGGAAUUGGGCAAGCCUAAUGGGUCGUUUCGGGAUAAAUCUCCCGAGCUCCAUAGCUAAAAAGGGAAAAGUGAAAAUCUCACAAUUUUGCCCCCUCUAAUAUGAUAUUAGCGGUUUCAGAAGGCAAAAAAAAAUUAAGUAAUUCUUCGCUUAUUGUUCAGUCUUCCCUAAGGGUUUCGAAUUUGAUAGAGAUAAGCUUGUCUUGUUAUGGAUGGCAGAAGGUCUUGUCAGGCAACCGAGGAGGCAGAAGAAAAUGGAAGAAGUAGGGGAUGAGUCUUUUCGUGAUCUAUUAUCUAGUUCUUUCUUUCGAAGUCAAGUUGCAAUGAUGAAUUUAUGUUGUGCAUGACCUCAUCAGUGAUUUAGCCCAAUUUGUUCUUGAUUUAGCCAUUGGCUUUUUGCAACCCCUGACAGAAAUGGAAGAUUUAGUCAUUGAUGGUUGUGGUGACAUCACCAAGUUGUCCAACCAAGCUGGAUUGCAGCACCUGAGUUCUCUUCAAAAGUUGCAGAUAUACAGUUGUUAAGUAUUAGAGAAUUUACCCCAAGAGCUGCACAAACCAUCAUCUCUGACCUUCCUGGAAUUUCAGGGGUGUCCGAGUAUGCAAGUUCAUUCCCGGAGAUGGGAUUGCCAACUAUGCUUACACAUAUCACGAUUGAAAUUUUUCAAGCUCUCGAGUGUCUGCCCGAAAGACUGUUGCGUGGCAGCUCUAAUCCUCGGUAUUUGUGCAUCAGUGGGCGUUCAUCUCACACAUCGCCUCCAUAAAGUAUGAUUACAGAAUUGCUUUGUGACCUGCUGGAGAAGGUUAUAAUCUCAUGCUUCAGCUUCAUGGUCGUAGCGUUCCUUUUUCUUUCUCUCCGAGUGCUGUGAUUUAGUGAUCGCUCCUCCAUUGAUCUGGCCAUGUAACAUCAUUAGCAGUUUAGUUUCAUGAUUGAGAUUUCAUGUCUACAAGUAUUAAAGAUCAUUAGAAGUUUCUAAACUAUUAAAGCUUC